Molecule: ribosomal RNA, 253 nt
Filed under: uncultured bacterium
Lineage: Bacteria
Description: partial 16S ribosomal RNA
Rfam family: Bacterial small subunit ribosomal RNA
Source: RNAcentral
UACAGAGGGGGCAAGCGUUGCUCGGAAUCACUGGGCGUAAAGGGCUCGUAGGCGGUUUGUCGCGUCGGGAGUGAAAAUCCAGGGCUUAACUCUGGACUGGCUUCCGAUACGGGCAGACUAGAGGUAUGCAGGGGAGAACGGAAUUCCUGGUGUAGCGGUGAAAUGCGCAGAUAUCAGGAGGAACACCGGUGGCGAAGGCGGGUCUCUGGGCCGAUACUGACGCUGAGGAGCGAAAGCGUGGGGAGCGAACAGG